Molecule: ribosomal RNA, 486 nt
Filed under: Microbacterium sp.
Lineage: Bacteria; Bacillati; Actinomycetota; Actinomycetes; Micrococcales; Microbacteriaceae
Description: bacterial SSU rRNA
Rfam family: Bacterial small subunit ribosomal RNA
Source: RNAcentral
GCCUGAUGCAGCAACGCCGCGUGAGGGAUGACGGCCUUCGGGUUGUAAACCUCUUUUAGCAGGGAAGAAGCGAAAGUGACGGUACCUGCAGAAAAAGCGCCGGCUAACUACGUGCCAGCAGCCGCGGUAAUACGUAGGGCGCAAGCGUUAUCCGGAAUUAUUGGGCGUAAAGAGCUCGUAGGCGGUUUGUCGCGUCUGCUGUGAAAUCCGGAGGCUCAACCUCCGGCCUGCAGUGGGUACGGGCAGACUAGAGUGCGGUAGGGGAGAUUGGAAUUCCUGGUGUAGCGGUGGAAUGCGCAGAUAUCAGGAGGAACACCGAUGGCGAAGGCAGAUCUCUGGGCCGUAACUGACGCUGAGGAGCGAAAGGGUGGGGAGCAAACAGGCUUAGAUACCCUGGUAGUCCACCCCGUAAACGUUGGGAACUAGUUGUGGGGUCCAUUCCACGGAUUCCGUGACGCAGCUAACGCAUUAAGUUCCCCGCCUGGG